AUACGGAGGGUGCAAGCGUUGUCCGGAUUUAUUGGGUUUAAAGGGUGCGUAGGUGGCGUGUUAAGUCAGUGGUGAAAGCCUGCAGCUCAACUGUAGAGGUGCCAUUGAUACUGACAUGCUUGAGUAUGGACGAGGUAGGCGGAAUUUGUGGUGUAGCGGUGAAAUGCAUAGAUACCGCAAAGAACACCGAUAGCGAAGGCAGCUUACUGGACCAUAACUGACACUGAGGCACGAAAGUGUGGGUAGCGAACAGGAUUAGAAACCCCAGUAGUCC
RNAcentral lists this ribosomal RNA (274 nucleotides) under uncultured bacterium. RNAcentral's name for it is "partial 16S ribosomal RNA". It matches the Rfam family "Bacterial small subunit ribosomal RNA", at positions 523 to 796 of the family's 1533-position model. The record is from RNAcentral.